This is a non-coding RNA of Xiphophorus maculatus (southern platyfish), 60 nucleotides long. Lineage: Eukaryota; Metazoa; Chordata; Actinopteri; Cyprinodontiformes; Poeciliidae. The record is from Rfam.
GUGGUGCAGUCGGUAGCACUGUUGCCUUGCAGCAAAAAGGUCCUGGGUUCGAUUCCCAGC